RNAcentral lists this ribosomal RNA (449 nucleotides) under uncultured bacterium. RNAcentral describes it as "partial 16S ribosomal RNA". It matches the Rfam family "Bacterial small subunit ribosomal RNA", at positions 29 to 523 of the family's 1533-position model. The record is from RNAcentral.
AGCGAACGCUGGCGGCAGGCCUAACACAUGCAAGUCGAACGGACCCUUCGGGGUUAGUGGCGGACGGGUGAGUAACACGUGGGAACGUGCCUUUAGGUUCGGAAUAGCUCCUGGAAACGGGUGGUAAUGCCGAAUGUGCCCUUCGGGGGAAAGAUUUAUCGCCUUUAGAGCGGCCCGCGUCUGAUUAGCUAGUUGGGGAGGUAACGGCUCACCAAGGCGACGAUCAGUAGCUGAUCUGAGAGGAUGACCAGCCACACUGGGACUGAGACACGGCCCAGACUCCUACGGGAGGCAGCAGUGGGGAAUCUUGCGCAAUGGGCGAAAGCCUGACGCAGCCAUGCCGCGUGAAUGAUGAAGGUCUUAGGAUUGUAAAAUUCUUUCACCGGGGACGAUAAUGACGGUACCCGGAGAAGAAGCCCCGGCUAACUUCGUGCCAGCAGCCGCCGUAA